GGAAGUAAAAGUCGUAACAAGGUCUCCGUAGGUGAACCUGCGGAGGGAUCAUUACUGAGUGAGGGCCUUCGGGCUCGACCUCCAACCCUUUGUGAACACAACUUGUUGCUUCGGGGGCGACCCUGCCGUUUCGACGGCGAGCGCCCCCGGAGGCCUUCAAACACUGCAUCUUUGCGUCGGAGUUUAAGUAAAUUAAACAAAACUUUCAACAACGGAUCUCUUGGUUCUGGCAUCGAUGAAGAACGCAGCGAAAUGCGAUAAGUAAUGUGAAUUGCAGAAUUCAGUGAAUCAUCGAAUCUUUGAACGCACAUUGCGCCCCUUGGUAUUCCGAGGGGCAUGCCUGUUCGAGCGUCAUUUCACCACUCAAGCCUCGCUUGGUAUUGGGCGCCGCGGUGUUCCGCGCGCCUCAAAGUCUCCGGCUGAGCUGUCCGUCUCUAAGCGUUGUGAUUUCAUUAAUCGCUUCGGAGCGCGGGCGGUCGCGGCCGUUAAAUCUUUUAUAAGGUUGACCUCGGAUCAGGUAGGGAUACCCGCUGAACUUAAGCAUAUCAAUAAGCGGAGGAA
RNAcentral lists this ribosomal RNA (561 nucleotides) under Cercospora gerberae. Its description in RNAcentral is "eukaryotic LSU rRNA". The stretch from base 201 to 354 matches the Rfam family "5.8S ribosomal RNA". Lineage: Eukaryota; Fungi; Ascomycota; Dothideomycetes; Mycosphaerellales; Mycosphaerellaceae. The record is from RNAcentral.